RNAcentral lists this ribosomal RNA (216 nucleotides) under Glomus sp. RNAcentral's name for it is "partial small subunit ribosomal RNA". The stretch from base 40 to 216 matches the Rfam family "Eukaryotic small subunit ribosomal RNA", at positions 686 to 864 of the family's 1831-position model. Lineage: Eukaryota; Fungi; Glomeromycota; Glomeromycetes; Glomerales; Glomeraceae. The record is from RNAcentral.
GGGUCAGUAGGUUGGUCGUGCCACUGGUAUGUACUGGCCUUACUGAUUCCUCCUUCUUGAAGAACUGUGAUGCCAUUUACUUGGUGUUGCAGGGAAACAGGACUGUUACUUUGAAAAAAUUAGAGUGUUUAAAGCAGGCUAACGCUUGAAUACAUUAGCAUGGAAUAAUGAAAUAGGACGUUUGAUCCUAUUUUGUUGGUUUCUAGGAUUGACGUA